GCGGAAGGAUCAUUCGCACGCAAAUUGCAUCCGAUUCAUUGUGAAUUUUGGGCGUGGGGUUCUGCCUGUGGGUGUAAAUAACACAGCGCGGAAGCUCGAAGGCAGCGGGGCGGUGUGGGCGAUCCUCUCUCCGGGGCGCCUCCGCACUGUGCUCGGUGUCACAUCCCUUUCCCACCAUGUUCUUCUGAACUGUUUUCUUGCUCGCAACAUCAGUUGACGAAAGCUUUACAACUUUCAGCGACGGAUAUCUCGGCUCAAACAACGAUGAAGGGCGCAGCGAAGUGUGAUAAGCAUUGUGAAUUGCAGAUUUCCGUGAGCCAAUAGAAACCUGAACGCAUCCUGCGCUUUCGGGAUAUUCCUGAAAGCAUGCCUGCUUCAGUGUCUACUUCUUUCUGCCAGCGAGGCGCUCGCAUUACGCGAGCUCGUCGCUUGGCGUCGUGUGUGUUAGGAUUGGCGUGUGCCUCUCUGGGGCAGCGCGCCGAGCUUGACGCAUGGAAGGUAUGUGUGAGCUUGCGCACUUCGCAAUGUAUUGAUUGGGUCUUCCCAGCUCUGUGCUUUGCGAGGAGUGCGGCUAAGCUUGCCAGCUAUCGCAGCACCUUACCUCAAGACAUGAAGCCAGGUCAGCAAACCCGCU
RNAcentral lists this ribosomal RNA (634 nucleotides) under Unruhdinium niei. Its description in RNAcentral is "eukaryotic LSU rRNA". The stretch from base 230 to 384 matches the Rfam family "5.8S ribosomal RNA". Lineage: Eukaryota; Dinophyceae; Peridiniales; Kryptoperidiniaceae. The record is from RNAcentral.